This 774-nucleotide ribosomal RNA is filed under the name Chlamydiota bacterium. RNAcentral's name for it is "bacterial SSU rRNA". It matches the Rfam family "Bacterial small subunit ribosomal RNA", at positions 1 to 766 of the family's 1533-position model. The record is from RNAcentral. Lineage: Bacteria; Pseudomonadati; Chlamydiota.
UACUGAGAAUUUGAUCUUGGUUCAGAUUGAAUGCUGACGGCGUGGAUGAGGCAUGCGAGUCGAACGAAAUAGUUUACUAUUUAGUGGCGGAAGGGUUAGUAAUACUUGAGUAACGUACCUUUAACCUGGGGAUAACGAUUGGAAACGAUCGCUAAUACCGAAUGAGGUAGUGGCAGAUAACUGCCGGCUAUCAAAGUGGGGGACCGAAAGGCCUUGCGGUUGAAGAACGGCUCAAGGGAUAUCAGCUAGUUGGUGAGGUAAAGGCUCACCAAGGCUAAGACGUCUAGGCGGACUGAGAGGUUGACCGCCAACACUGGGACUGAGAUACUGCCCAGACUCCUACGGGAGGCUGCAGUCGAGAAUCAUUCACAAUGGGGGAAACCCUGAUGAUGCGACGCCGUGUGAGCGAUGAAGGCCUUCGGGUUGUAAAGCUCUUUCGUGAGGGAACAAGAAAAAGGGACGAAUAAUCCUUUGAUUUGAGGGUACCUUAUAAAGAAGCACCGGCUAACUCCGUGCCAGCAGCUGCGGUAAUACGGAGGGUGCAAGCAUUAAUCGGAAUUAUUGGGCGUAAAGGGCGCGUAGGCGGACAGGUAAGUCAGAUGUGAAAUUUCGGAGCUCAACUUCGAAGCUGCAUUUGAAACUACCAGUCUGGAGGAUAGGCGGAGAAAACGGAAUUCCACGUGUAGCGGUGAAAUGCGUAGAGAUGUGGAAGAACACCUGUGGCGAAAGCGGUUUUCUAGCUUAGACCUGACGCUGAGGCGCGAAAGCAAGGGG